UAAUGCCGGAUGCUCCAGUUGAUCGCAUGGUCUUCUGGGAAAGCUUUCGCGGUAUGGGAUGGGGUCGCGUCCUAUCAGCUUGACGGCGGGGUAACGGCCCACCGUGGCUUCGACGGGUAGCCGGCCUGAGAGGGCGACCGGCCACAUUGGGACUGAGAUACGGCCCAGACUCCUACGGGAGGCAGCAGUGGGGAAUAUUGCACAAUGGGCGCAAGCCUGAUGCAGCGACGCCGCGUGAGGGAUGGAGGCCUUCGGGUUGUAAACCUCUUUUAUCGGGGAGCAAGCGAGAGUGAGUUUACCCGUUGAAUAAGCACCGGCUAACUACGUGCCAGCAGCCGCGGUAAUACGUAGGGUGCAAGCGUUAUCCGGAAUUAUUGGGCGUAAAGGGCUCGUAGGCGGUUCGUCGCGUCCGGUGUGAAAGUCCAUCGCUUAACGGUGGAUCCGCGCCGGGUACGGGCGGGCUUGAGUGCGGUAGGGGAGACUGGAAUUCCCGGUGUAACGGUGGAAUGUGUAGAUAUCGGAAAAGAACA
This 530-nucleotide ribosomal RNA is filed under the name Bifidobacterium longum subsp. suillum. RNAcentral's name for it is "bacterial SSU rRNA". It matches the Rfam family "Bacterial small subunit ribosomal RNA", at positions 164 to 708 of the family's 1533-position model. The record is from RNAcentral. Lineage: Bacteria; Bacillati; Actinomycetota; Actinomycetes; Bifidobacteriales; Bifidobacteriaceae.